Molecule: unclassified non-coding RNA, 335 nt
Filed under: soil metagenome
Description: partial contains 5.8S ribosomal RNA, internal transcribed spacer 2, and large subunit ribosomal RNA
Rfam family: 5.8S ribosomal RNA (bases 1-120)
Source: RNAcentral
GAUGAAGAACGUAGCGAAAUGCGAUAAGUAAUGUGAAUUGCAGAAUUCAGUGAAUCAUCGAAUCUUUGAACGCACAUUGCGCCCGCCAGUAUUCUGGCGGGCAUGCCUGUUCGAGCGUCAUUUCAACCAUCAAGCCCCCGGCUUGUGUUGGGGACCUGCGGCUGCCGCAGGCCCUGAAAACCAGUGGCGGGCUCGCUAGUCACUCCGAGCGUAGUAAUACAUCUCGCUCAGGGCGUGCUGCGGGUUCCGGCCGUUAAAAAGCCUUAUUUACCCAAGGUUGACCUCGGAUCAGGUAGGAAGACCCGCUGAACUUAAGCAUAUCAAUAAGCGGAAGA